CAAAACAUAGUAUAUAUUAUUAUUUCUCAUUUACACUGAGAAGAAAGCCUCGCUUGUUUUGA
This 62-nucleotide transfer RNA is filed under the name Cirriformia cf. tentaculata HK-2018. RNAcentral's name for it is "tRNA-Val". The record is from RNAcentral. Lineage: Eukaryota; Metazoa; Annelida; Polychaeta; Terebellida; Cirratulidae.